UUACAUUUGAGUGAGUGGCGAACUGGUGAGUAACACGUGGGAAACCUGCCCAGAAGCGGGGGAUAACACCUGGAAACAGAUGCUAAUACCGCAUAACAACUUGGACCGCAUGGUCCGAGUUUGAAAGAUGGCUUCGGCUAUCACUUUUGGAUGGUCCCGCGGCGUAUUAGCUAGAUGGUGGGGUAACGGCUCACCAUGGCAAUGAUACGUAGCCGACCUGAGAGGGUAAUCGGCCACAUUGGGACUGAGACACGGCCCAAACUCCUACGGGAGGCAGCAGUAGGGAAUCUUCCACAAUGGACGAAAGUCUGAUGGAGCAACGCCGCGUGAGUGAAGAAGGGUUUCGGCUCGUAAAACUCUGUUGUUAAAGAAGAACAUAUCUGAGAGUAACUGUUCAGGUAUUGACGGUAUUUAACCAGAAAGCCACGGCUAACUACGUGCCAGCAGCCGCGGUAAUACGUAGGUGGCAAGCGUUGUCCGGAUUUAUUGGGCGUAAAGCGAGCGCAGGCGGUUUUUUAAGUCUGAUGUGAAAGCCUUCGGCUCAACCGAAGAAGUGCAUCGGAAACUGGGAAACUUGAGUGCAGAAGAGGACAGUGGAACUCCAUGUGUAGCGGUGAAAUGCGUAGAUAUAUGGAAGAACACCAGUGGCGAAGGCGGCUGUCUGGUCUGUAACUGACGCUGAGGCUCGAAAGUAUGGGUAGCAAACAGGAUUAGAUACCCUGGUAGUCCAUACCGUAAACGAUGAAUGCUA
RNAcentral lists this ribosomal RNA (751 nucleotides) under Lactiplantibacillus plantarum. Its description in RNAcentral is "bacterial SSU rRNA". It matches the Rfam family "Bacterial small subunit ribosomal RNA", at positions 80 to 818 of the family's 1533-position model. The record is from RNAcentral. Lineage: Bacteria; Bacillati; Bacillota; Bacilli; Lactobacillales; Lactobacillaceae.